GGUUAAGCGACUAAGCGUACACGGUGGAUGCCCUGGCAGUCAGAGGCGAUGAAGGACGUGCUAAUCUGCGAAAAGCGUCGGUAAGGUGAUAUGAACCGUUAUAACCGGCGAUGUCCGAAUGGGGAAACCCAGUGCAAUUCGUUGCACUAUCGUUAACUGAAUACAUAGGUUAACGAGGCGAACCGGGGGAACUGAAACAUCUAAGUACCCCGAGGAAAAGAAAUCAACCGAGAUUCCCCCAGUAGCGGCGAGCGAACGGGGAGCAGCCCAGAGUCUGAAUCAGCUUGUGUGUUAGUGGAACGGUCUGGAAAGUCCGACGGUACAGGGUGAUAGUCCCGUACACCAAAAUGCACAGGUUGUGAACUCGAAGAGUAGGGCGGGACACGUGGUAUCCUGUCUGAAUAUGGGGGGACCAUCCUCCAAGGCUAAAUACUCCUGACUGACCGAUAGUGAACCAGUACCGUGAGGGAAAGGCGAAAAGAACCCCGGCGAGGGGAGUGAAAAAGAACCUGAAACCGUGUACGUACAAGCAGUGGGAGCACCUUCGGGUGUGACUGCGUACCUUUUGUAUAAUGGGUCAGCGACUUAUAUUCUGUAGCAAGGUUAACCGUAUAGGGGAGCCGCAGGGAAACCGAGUCUUAACUGGGCGUUAAGUUGCAGGGUAUAGACCCGAAACCCGGUGAUCUAGCCAUGGGCAGGUUGAAGGUUGGGUAACACUAACUGGAGGACCGAACCGACUAAUGUUGAAAAAUUAGCGGAUGACUUGUGGCUGGGGGUGAAAGGCCAAUCAAACCGGGAGAUAGCUGGUUCUCCCCGAAAGCUAUUUAGGUAGCGCCUCGUGAAUUCAUCUUCGGGGGUAGAGCACUGUUUCGGCUAGGGGGUCAUCCCGACUUACCAACCCGAUGCAAACUACGAAUACCGAAGAAUGUUAUCACGGGAGACACACGGCGGGUGCUAACGUCCGUCGUGAAGAGGGAAACAACCCAGACCGCCAGCUAAGGUCCCAAAGUCAUGGUUAAGUGGGAAACGAUGUGGGAAGGCACAGACAGCCAGGAUGUUGGCUUAGAAGCAGCCAUCAUUUAAAGAAAGCGUAAUAGCUCACUGGUCGAGUCGGCCUGCGCGGAAGAUGUAACGGGGCUAAACCAUGCACCGAAGCUGCGGCAGCGACACUAUGUGUUGUUGGGUAGGGGAGCGUUCUGUAAGCCUGUGAAGGUGUGCUGUGAGGCAUGCUGGAGGUAUCAGAAGUGCGAAUGCUGACAUAAGUAACGAUAAAGCGGGUGAAAAGCCCGCUCGCCGGAAGACCAAGGGUUCCUGUCCAACGUUAAUCGGGGCAGGGUGAGUCGACCCCUAAGGCGAGGCCGAAAGGCGUAGUCGAUGGGAAACAGGUUAAUAUUCCUGUACUUGGUGUUACUGCGAAGGGGGGACGGAGAAGGCUAUGUUAGCCGGGCGACGGUUGUCCCGGUUUAAGCAUGUAGGCUGGUUAUCCAGGCAAAUCCGGAUAAUCAAGGCUGAGGUGUGAUGACGAGGUACUACGGUGCUGAAGUAACAAAUGCCCUGCUUCCAGGAAAAGCCUCUAAGCAUCAGGUAACAUCAAAUCGUACCCCAAACCGACACAGGUGGUCAGGUAGAGAAUACCAAGGCGCUUGAGAGAACUCGGGUGAAGGAACUAGGCAAAAUGGUGCCGUAACUUCGGGAGAAGGCACGCUGGUGUGUAGGUGAAGUCCCUGCGGAUGGAGCUGAGACCAGUCGAAGAUACCAGCUGGCUGCAACUGUUUAUUAAAAACACAGCACUGUGCAAACACGAAAGUGGACGUAUACGGUGUGACGCCUGCCCGGUGCCGGAAGGUUAAUUGAUGGGGUUAUCCGUAAGGAGAAGCUCUUGAUCGAAGCCCCGGUAAACGGCGGCCGUAACUAUAACGGUCCUAAGGUAGCGAAAUUCCUUGUCGGGUAAGUUCCGACCUGCACGAAUGGCGUAAUGAUGGCCAGGCUGUCUCCACCCGAGACUCAGUGAAAUUGAACUCGCUGUGAAGAUGCAGUGUACCCGCGGCAAGACGGAAAGACCCCGUGAACCUUUACUAUAGCUUGACACUGAACAUUGAGCCUUGAUGUGUAGGAUAGGUGGGAGGCUUUGAAGCGUGGACGCCAGUCUGCGUGGAGCCAACCUUGAAAUACCACCCUUUAAUGUUUGAUGUUCUAACGUUGGCCCCUGACCGGGGUUGCGGACAGUGUCUGGUGGGUAGUUUGACUGGGGCGGUCUCCUCCCAAAGCGUAACGGAGGAGCACGAAGGUUAGCUAAUCCUGGUCGGACAUCAGGAGGUUAGUGCAAUGGCAUAAGCUAGCUUGACUGCGAGCGUGACGGCGCGAGCAGGUGCGAAAGCAGGUCAUAGUGAUCCGGUGGUUCUGAAUGGAAGGGCCAUCGCUCAACGGAUAAAAGGUACUCCGGGGAUAACAGGCUGAUACCGCCCAAGAGUUCAUAUCGACGGCGGUGUUUGGCACCUCGAUGUCGGCUCAUCACAUCCUGGGGCUGAAGUAGGUCCCAAGGGUAUGGCUGUUCGCCAUUUAAAGUGGUACGCGAGCUGGGUUUAGAACGUCGUGAGACAGUUCGGUCCCUAUCUGCCGUGGGCGCUGGAGAAUUGAGGGGGGCUGCUCCUAGUACGAGAGGACCGGAGUGGACGCAUCACUGGUGUUCGGGUUGUCAUGCCAAUGGCACUGCCCGGUAGCUAAAUGCGGAAGAGAUAAGUGCUGAAAGCAUCUAAGCACGAAACUUGCCCCGAGAUGAGUUCUCCCUGAGACUUUAAGUCUCCUGAAGGAACGUUGAAGACGACGACGUUGAUAGGCCGGGUGUGUAAGCGCAGCGAUGCGUUGAGCUAACCGGUACUAAUGAACCGUGAGGCUUAACCUU
This 2902-nucleotide ribosomal RNA is filed under the name Klebsiella pneumoniae. RNAcentral describes it as "23S ribosomal RNA". It matches the Rfam family "Bacterial large subunit ribosomal RNA". Lineage: Bacteria; Pseudomonadati; Pseudomonadota; Gammaproteobacteria; Enterobacterales; Enterobacteriaceae. The record is from RNAcentral.